CGCAUCUGUGCAUGCAGCAUAUCAAUAAGCGGAGGAAAAGAAACUAACAAGGAUUCCCUCAGUAACGGCGAGUGAAGCGGGAAGAGCUCAAAUUUGAAAUCUUGAAAGGUCACCUUUCACGAAUUGUAGUUUAAAGAAGUGUUUUCUGUUACGAUCGUAAUAUAAGUUCUUUGGAAUAGGACAUCACAGAGGGUGAGAAUCCCGUCUAUGAUUGCGAUUUGUAGCUUUGUGAUACACUUUCAAAGAGUCGGGUUGUUUGGGAAUGCAGCCCAAAACGGGAGGUAAAUUUCUUCUAAGGCUAAAUAUUGGCGAGAGACCGAUAGCGAACAAGUACCGUGAGGGAAAGAUGAAAAGAACUUUGAAAAGAGAGUUAAAUAGUACGUGAAAUUGUCAAAAGGGAAGCGCUUAACACCAGUGUUGUUUUCUGAAAAUCAACCUCUGUUAGCUUUAUGCAUGUUUGUUUAGACCUAAUCAGCUAUCUUGCAUGUUCUAUUGUUUGCAGUGGUGCACUUUUCAGUUUACAGGUCAACAUCAGUUUUUUUACCGUAAAAAAGUUAAAGAAAGGUAGCUCAUGGCUCCGGUCGUGAGUGUUAUAGUCUUUUUCCUAUGCGGUAGGAGAGACUGAGGUCUGCAGUGUAGGCUAUUUGGCUAGAUACUCAGGUGCUAUGUGAUACCAUUUCAUAAACAACUUGUUGAUUAUGUUUUGUCUAUUGCAUACUCGCUUGUACUAUCAUACCUACGCUUAGGAUGUUGAAGUCAUCGUAUCGCGC
RNAcentral lists this ribosomal RNA (770 nucleotides) under uncultured Neocallimastigales. RNAcentral's name for it is "partial large subunit ribosomal RNA". The stretch from base 1 to 660 matches the Rfam family "Eukaryotic large subunit ribosomal RNA", at positions 26 to 664 of the family's 3401-position model. Lineage: Eukaryota; Fungi; Neocallimastigomycota; Neocallimastigomycetes; Neocallimastigales. The record is from RNAcentral.